UACAGAGGGGGCAAGCGUUGUUCGGAAUCACUGGGCGUAAAGCGUAUGUAGGCGGAUCGUUAAGUCGGGGGUGAAAUCCCGAGGCUCAACCUCGGAACUGCCUUCGAUACUGGCGAUCUUCGAGUCCGGGAGAGGUGAGUGGAACUCCGAGUGUAGAGGUGAAAUUCGUAGAUAUUCGGAAGAACACCAGUGGCGAAGGCGGCUCACUGGCCCGGUACUGACGCUGAGGCACGAAAGCGUGGGGAGCAAACAGG
Molecule: ribosomal RNA, 254 nt
Filed under: uncultured bacterium
Lineage: Bacteria
Description: partial 16S ribosomal RNA
Rfam family: Bacterial small subunit ribosomal RNA
Source: RNAcentral